GCUGGGUGCGGUGGCAUGUGCCUGUAGUCCCAGCUACUCAGGAGGCUGAGGUGGGAGGAUCGCUUGAGCCCCAGAGUUCUGGGCUGUAGCGCGCUAUGCCAAUCGGGUGUCCGCAGUAAGUUCGGCAUCAAUAUGGUGACCUCCUGGGAGUGGGGGACCACCGGGUUGCCUAAGGAGGGGUGAACCAGCCCAGGUCGGAAACGGAGCAGGUCAAAACUCCCGUGCUGAUCGAUAGUGGGAUCUUGCCUGUGAAUAGCCACUGCACUCCAGCCUGGGCAACAUAGCGAGACCCUGUCUCU
RNAcentral lists this signal recognition particle RNA (299 nucleotides) under Saimiri boliviensis boliviensis (Bolivian squirrel monkey). RNAcentral's name for it is "Metazoan signal recognition particle RNA (ENSSBOG00000009410.1)". It matches the Rfam family "Metazoan signal recognition particle RNA". Rfam says of the family: The signal recognition particle (SRP) is a universally conserved ribonucleoprotein. It is involved in the co-translational targeting of proteins to membranes. Lineage: Eukaryota; Metazoa; Chordata; Mammalia; Primates; Cebidae. The record is from RNAcentral.